UACGAAGGGUCCAAGCGUUAUCCGGAUUUAUUGGGUUUAAAGGGUGCGUAGGCGGCUUAUUAAGUCAGUGGUGAAAGCCUGCAGCUUAACUGCAGAACUGCCAUUGAUACUGAUGGGCUUGAGUAUAGUUGAGGUGGGCGGAAUGUGUCAUGUAGCGGUGAAAUGCUUAGAUAUGACACAGAACACCGAUUGCGAAGGCAGCUCGCUAAACUAUAACUAACGCUGAGGCACGAAAGCGUGGGGAGCGAACAGG
This 253-nucleotide ribosomal RNA is filed under the name uncultured bacterium. RNAcentral's name for it is "partial 16S ribosomal RNA". It matches the Rfam family "Bacterial small subunit ribosomal RNA", at positions 524 to 776 of the family's 1533-position model. The record is from RNAcentral.